UAGGGAAUAUUAGAAAUGGACGAAAGUCUGAUCUAGCAACACCGCGUGUGCGAAGAAGGCCUUCGGGUUGUAAAGCACUUUUUGGAAGGAUUAGGAAGGAAUGUACUUCCAGAAUAAGUCUCGGCUACCUACGUGCCAGCAGCCGCGGUAACACGUAGGAGGCAAACGUUAUCCGGAUUUACUGGGCGUAAAGCGCGUGUAGGUGGUUCUGUAAGUAGGGCGUGAAAGCUCCUGGCUCAACUGGGAGAGGCCGUUCUAAACUGCAGAGCUAGAGGAUGGUAGAGGGAGGUGGAAUUCCGGGUGUGGCGGUGGAAUGCGCAGAUAUCCGGAGGAACACCAGUGGCGAAGGCGGCCUCCUGGACCAUUCCUGACACUCAGACGCGAAAGCUAGGGUAGCAAACG
This 402-nucleotide ribosomal RNA is filed under the name uncultured prokaryote. Its description in RNAcentral is "bacterial SSU rRNA". It matches the Rfam family "Bacterial small subunit ribosomal RNA", at positions 355 to 774 of the family's 1533-position model. The record is from RNAcentral.